ACUGCCGGUAAUAAACCGGAGGAAGGUGGGGAUGACGUCAAAUCAUCAUGCCCCUUAUGACCUGGGCUACACACGUGCUACAAUGGUUGGUACAACGAGUUGCGAGUCGGUGACGGCGAGCUAAUCUCUUAAAGCCAAUCUCAGUUCGGAUUGUAGGCUGCAACUCGCCUACAUGAAGUCGGAAUCGCUAGUAAUCGCGGAUCAGCACGCCGCGGUCGAAUACGUUCCGGGCCUU
Molecule: ribosomal RNA, 235 nt
Filed under: uncultured Streptococcus sp.
Lineage: Bacteria; Bacillati; Bacillota; Bacilli; Lactobacillales; Streptococcaceae
Description: partial 16S ribosomal RNA
Rfam family: Bacterial small subunit ribosomal RNA
Source: RNAcentral